This 1235-nucleotide ribosomal RNA is filed under the name metagenome. RNAcentral describes it as "bacterial LSU rRNA". It matches the Rfam family "Bacterial large subunit ribosomal RNA", at positions 1564 to 2808 of the family's 2925-position model. The record is from RNAcentral.
UGAAUACGAGACGCUAAGGCGUCGAAGUAGUGUAUGUCAUACUUCCAAGAAAAGCUUGCACUGUCAUAAGUAAAAAAUGCCUGUACCAUAACCGACACAGGUGGGUAGGUAGAGUAUACUAAGGGGCGCGAGAUAACUCUCUCUAAGGAACUCGGCAAAAUAACUCCGUAACUUCGGGAGAAGGAGUACCUUAUUCUAUAAGGUUGCAAUAACAAGAUCCAAGCAACUGUUUAUCAAAAACACAGGUCUCCGCUAAGUCGUAAGACGAUGUAUGGGGGCUGACGCCUGCCCAGUGCCAGAAGGUUAAAGAAGUCGGUUAGCAUUAGCGAAGCUGGUAACUGAAGCCCUGGUGAACGGCGGCCGUAACAAUAACGGUCCUAAGGUAGCGAAAUUCCUUGUCGGGUAAGUUCCGACCCGCACGAAAGGCGUAAUGAUUUGGAUACUGUCUCGGAGAGGGGCUCGGUGAAAUAGACUUGUCUGUGAAGAUGCGGACUACCUGCACCAGGACAGAAAGACCCUAUGAAGCUUUACUGUAACUUGAAAUUGAAAUUGGACUUUAUUCGCGCAGUAUAGGUGGGAGGUGUUGAUUAUAAUCUUGCGGGAUUAUUGGAGCCAUCAGUGAGAUACCACUCUUGUAAUGUUAGAUUUCUAACUUUGAAUCAUUAUCUGGUCAAAGGACAGUUUCAGGCGGGCAGUUUGACUGGGGCGGUCGCCUCCCAAACGGUAACGGAGGCGUACAAAGGUUUCCUCUGAACGGGUAGAAGUCGUAUCUAGAGUGUAAAGGCAUAAGGAAGCUUGACUGUGAGACCUACAAGUCGAACAGGGACGAAAGUCGGUCUUAGUGAUCUGACGGUACUGAGUGGAAAGGCCGUCACUCAACGGAUAAAAGUUACUCUAGGAUAACAGGCUGAUCUCCCCCAAGAGUUCACAUCGACGGGGAGGUUUGGCACCUCGAUGUCGGCUCAUCGCAUCCUGGGGCGGUAGUACGUCCCAAGGGUUGGGCUGUUCGCCCAUGAAAGCGGUACGCGAGCUGGGUUCAGAACGUCGUGAGACAGUUCGGUCCAUAUCCGGUGUAGGCGUUAGAAUAUUGAGAGGAGCCUUCUUUAGUACGAGAGGACCGAGAAGGACAUACCUCUGGUGUACCAGUUAUCGUGCCAACGGUAAACGCUGGGUAGCUAUGUAUGGAGUGGAUAACCGCUGAAAGCAUCUAAGUGGGAAGCCCCCCUCAAGAUAAG